Molecule: ribosomal RNA, 585 nt
Filed under: uncultured bacterium
Lineage: Bacteria
Description: partial 16S ribosomal RNA
Rfam family: Bacterial small subunit ribosomal RNA
Source: RNAcentral
UGGGGAAUUUUGGACAAUGGGCGAAAGCCUGAUCCAGCAAUGCCGCGUGUGUGAAGAAGGCCUUCGGGUUGUAAAGCACUUUUGUCCGGAAAGAAAUCCUUGGCUCUAAUACAGUCGGGGGAUGACGGUACCGGAAGAAUAAGCACCGGCUAACUACGUGCCAGCAGCCGCGGUAAUACGUAGGGUGCAAGCGUUAAUCGGAAUUACUGGGCGUAAAGCGUGCGCAGGCGGUUUGCUAAGACCGAUGUGAAAUCCCCGGGCUCAACCUGGGAACUGCAUUGGUGACUGGCAGGCUAGAGUAUGGCAGAGGGGGGUAGAAUUCCACGUGUAGCAGUGAAAUGCGUAGAGAUGUGGAGGAAUACCGAUGGCGAAGGCAGCCCCCUGGGCCAAUACUGACGCUCAUGCACGAAAAGCGUGGGGAGCAAACAGGAUUCAGAUACCCUGGUAGUCCACGCCCUAAACGAUGUCAACUAGUUGUUGGGGAUUCAUUUCCUUAGUAACGUAGCUAACGCGUGAAGUUGACCGCCUGGGGGAGUACGGUCGCAAGAUUAAAACUCAAAUGAAUUGACGGGGUCAUAGCUGUUU